GGUACCUUUAUUUUAAUGCCCCUGCUGUAGCUUAGAUGGUAUUAAGUUUUAUCCUUGUCUGUAGAUCUUCGAAACAAAUAUAUUGAUCCCCCUGUUAUAACAUUGAUGUCUAUUCUACUGUAUGAUAUUGAUGUACCAGUAUUUGAUAACAUUCCAUCUCUAUAAAUAAGAUGUGGUAUGAGUGCCAAUGAAACUACUCUCCAUCCAAGUCACAAUAUAUAAAAAGUUAACAAUUAUAGGUCAAAGAAGGGCCUCCAACACAGAACCUUGGGUCACAACAAAACGCAACCUAUAAAGAUCUAUAAAGGGCAGAAAAAGACCAGUGAAAACAAAUCAAAUGGAAAACCCAAUGGUCUAAUCUAUAUGAAAAACUAGAAACACCUAUAAACCAAACCAACAAAUUACAACCACUGUACAACAGGUUCCUGACUUUAAUAGGACAAGUGCA
RNAcentral lists this long non-coding RNA (448 nucleotides) under Mytilus galloprovincialis (Mediterranean mussel). Lineage: Eukaryota; Metazoa; Mollusca; Bivalvia; Mytilida; Mytilidae. The record is from RNAcentral.